ACGGGGUGCAGCAGGCGCGAAAACUUGGCAAUGCGAGAAAUCGUGACCAGGGAACUCCAAGUGCAUGGGGUAAGACCUAUGCUUUUCUAGACUCUAAAAAGGUCUUGGAAUAAGAGGUGGGUAAGGACGGUGCCAGCCGCCGCGGUAAUACCGGCGCCUCAAGUGGUAGUCGCUUUUAUUGGGCCUAAAACGUCCGUAGCCGGUCUGAUACAUUCGUGGGUAAAUCAACCAGCUUAACUGGUUGAAUUCUGCGAGGACGGUCAGACUUGGGACCGGGAGAGGUGUGGGGUACGCUCAGGGUAGGGGUAAAAUCCUGUCAUCCUGAGCGGACCACCUGUUGCGAAGGCGCCACACUAGAACGGAUCCGACGGUCAGGGACGAAGCCUAGGGGCACGAACCGGAUUAGAUACCCGGGUAGUCCUAGGUGUAAACGCUGCGGACUUGAUGUUGGGGGUGCUCCGAGCACUCUCAGUGUCGAAGCGAAGGCGAUAAGUCCACUGCCUGGGAAGUACGGUCGCAAGGCUGAAACUUAAAGGAAUUGGCGGG
Molecule: ribosomal RNA, 546 nt
Filed under: uncultured archaeon
Lineage: Archaea
Description: bacterial SSU rRNA
Rfam family: Archaeal small subunit ribosomal RNA
Source: RNAcentral